UAGGGAAUCUUUCGCAAUGGACGCAAGUCUGACGGAGCAACGCCGCGUGAGUGAAGAAGGAUUUCGGUUCGUAAAACUCUGUUGUUAGAGAAGAACAGCGCAUAGAGUAACUGUUAUGCGUGUGACGGUAGCUAACCAGAUAGCCACAGCUAACUACGUGCCAGCAGCCGCGGUAAUACGUAGGUGGCAAGCGUUGUCCGGACUUAUUGGGCGUAAAGCGAGCGUAGGCGGUCAAUUAAGUCGGAUGUGAAAGCCCCCGGCUCAACCGGGGAGGUUCAUUGGAAACUGGUUGACUUGAGUGCAGAAGAGGAGAGUGGAAUUCCAUGUGUAGCGGUGAAAUGCGUAGAUAUAGGGAGGAACACCAGUGGCGAAGGCGACUCUCUGGUCUGUCACUGACGCUGAGGCUUGAAAGCGUGGGUAGCAAACGGG
RNAcentral lists this ribosomal RNA (429 nucleotides) under Bacteroidota bacterium. RNAcentral's name for it is "Bacteroidetes bacterium partial 16S ribosomal RNA". It matches the Rfam family "Bacterial small subunit ribosomal RNA", at positions 355 to 776 of the family's 1533-position model. Lineage: Bacteria; Pseudomonadati; Bacteroidota. The record is from RNAcentral.